This 319-nucleotide ribosomal RNA is filed under the name uncultured Pseudomonadota bacterium. Its description in RNAcentral is "bacterial SSU rRNA". It matches the Rfam family "Bacterial small subunit ribosomal RNA", at positions 30 to 351 of the family's 1533-position model. The record is from RNAcentral. Lineage: Bacteria; Pseudomonadati; Pseudomonadota.
AUUGAACGCUGGCGGUAUGCUUAACACAUGCAAGUCGAACGGUAGCAGGCCUUCGGGCGCUGACGAGUGGCGGACGGGUGAGUAACGCGUAGGAAUCUGCCUGUUAGUGGGGGACAACGUGGGGAAACUCAAGCUAAUACCGCAUACGCUCUACGGAGGAAAGCGGGGGACCUUCGGGCCUCGCGCUAUGAGAUGAGCCUGCGUGGGAUUAGCUAGUUGGUGGGGUAAAGGCCUACCAAGGCGACGAUCCCUAGCUGGUCUGAGAGGACGAUCAGCCACACUGGGACUGAGACACGGCCCAGACUCCUACGGGUGGCAG